UUAAAACUCAAAUGAAUUGACGGGGGCCCGCACAAGCGGUGGAGCAUGUGGUUUAAUUCGAUGCAACGCGAAGAACCUUACCUACUCUUGACAUCCAGAGAACUUAGCAGAGAUGCUUUGGUGCCUUCGGGAACUAUGAGACAGGUGCUGCAUGGCUGUCGUCAGCUCGUGUUGUGAAAUGUUGGGUUAAGUCCCGCAACGAGCGCAACCCUUAUCCUUUGUUGCCAGCGGUUCGGCCGGGAACUCAAAGGAGACUGCCAGUGAUAAACUGGAGGAAGGUGGGGAUGACGUCAAGUCAUCAUGGCCCUUACGAGUAGGGCUACACACGUGCUACAAUGGCGCAUACAAAGAGAAGCGACCUCGCGAGAGCAAGCGGACCUCAUAAAGUGCGUCGUAGUCCGGAUUGGAGUCUGCAACUCGACUCCAUGAAGUCGGAAUCGCUAGUAAUCGUGGAUCAGAAUGCCACGGUGAAUACGUUCCCGGGCCUUGUACACACCGC
This 499-nucleotide ribosomal RNA is filed under the name Enterobacter hormaechei. RNAcentral's name for it is "bacterial SSU rRNA". It matches the Rfam family "Bacterial small subunit ribosomal RNA", at positions 894 to 1393 of the family's 1533-position model. Lineage: Bacteria; Pseudomonadati; Pseudomonadota; Gammaproteobacteria; Enterobacterales; Enterobacteriaceae. The record is from RNAcentral.